GUGACUCCAUCACCUUUACCUCUUGAAUAUCCUCAGGUACAUCUAAUCUCUUCUCAUCAUAAGCGAUUAGGACCUUCUGUUAAGAAUAUCAAGUGGAUCUUGUGGGUAUGUAACUAACCCGUGGAUUCUUCUCUUUUGCAUACCUUCUCAGACGGCUCGUGUCUCUUCUUUGGACGCGAAUGAGAUUCUGACAUGUACCUGAGCUCACACCUGAGCUCCACCAUCACGCUCCACCUCUUCCGUAGACCAAGUAAUCUCCUUUCUC
This 265-nucleotide long non-coding RNA is filed under the name Brassica napus (rape). RNAcentral describes it as "long non-coding RNA (BNAP_LNC017929)". Lineage: Eukaryota; Viridiplantae; Streptophyta; Magnoliopsida; Brassicales; Brassicaceae. The record is from RNAcentral.